GACGAACGCUGGCGGCGUGCUUAACACAUGCAAGUCGAGCGGUAAGGCUCCUUCGGGAGUACACGAGCGGCGAACGGGUGAGUAACACGUGAGCAAUCUGCCCUUCACUUUGGGAUAACUCCGGGAAACCGGUGCUAAUACCGAAUGCGACCACUUCAGGCAUCUGACGGUGGUGGAAAGUUCCGGCGGUGAAGGAUGAGCUCGCGGCCUAUCAGCUUGUUGGUGAGGUAAUGGCUCACCAAGGCUUCGACGGGUAGCCGGCCUGAGAGGGUGACCGGCCACACUGGGACUGAGACACGGCCCAGACUCCUACGGGAGGCAGCAGUGGGGAAUAUUGGACAAUGGGCGAAAGCCUGAUCCAGCAACGCCGCGUGAGGGAUGACGGCCUC
RNAcentral lists this ribosomal RNA (389 nucleotides) under uncultured bacterium. RNAcentral describes it as "bacterial SSU rRNA". It matches the Rfam family "Bacterial small subunit ribosomal RNA", at positions 28 to 418 of the family's 1533-position model. The record is from RNAcentral.